CUGGCUCAGGAUGAACGCUAGCGACAGGCUUAACACAUGCAAGUCGAGGGGCAGCACGGGAGUAGCAAUACAACUGGUGGCGACCGGCGCACGGGUGAGUAAAGCAUAAGAAUCUGCCUUUUGGAGUGGGAUAGCUCGAAGAAAUUCGGAUUAAUACCGCAUGAAGUCUAAGGAUAAAAGGGGGCUAGAAAUAGCUUUCGCCAAGAGAUGAGCUUAUGUGAGAUUAGCUAGUUGGAGUGGUAAAGGCACCCCAAGGCGAAGAUCUCUAGCCGAUUUUAGAGAAUGGUCGGCCACACUGGGACUGAGAUACGGCCCAGACUCCUACGGGAGGCAGCAGUGGGGAAUAUUGGACAAUGGGGGCAACCCUGAUCCAGCCAUGCCGCGUGUGUGAAGAAGGCCUUAGGGUUGUAAAGCACUUUUGACGGGGAAGAAGUGACAGUGGUUAAUACCUGCUGUCAUUGACAUGAACUGUAGAAAAAGCACCGGCCAACUCCGUGCCAGCAGCCGCGGUAAUACGGAGGGUGCGAGCGUUAAUCGGAAUUACUGGGCGUAAAGGGCGUGUAGGCGGAUGAAUAAGUUGGAUGUGAAAUCCCCGAGCUUAACUUGGGAACAGCAUACAAAACUGUUGAUCUAGAGUGUAGUAGAGGACGAUGGAAUUUUCUGUGUAGCAGUAAAAUGCUUAGAGAUUGAAAGGAACACCAGAGGCGAAGGCGAUCGUCUGGGCUACAACUGACGCUGAGGCGCGAAAGCGUGGGGAGCAAACAGGAUUAGAUACCCUGGUAGUCCACGCUGUAAAUGGUGGAGACUGGCUGUCGGUGAGAAUCGGUGGCGAAGCUAACGCGUUAAGUCUCCCGCCUGGGGAGUACGGCCGCAAGGUUAAAACUCAAAGGAAUUGACGG
This 899-nucleotide ribosomal RNA is filed under the name uncultured bacterium. RNAcentral's name for it is "bacterial SSU rRNA". It matches the Rfam family "Bacterial small subunit ribosomal RNA", at positions 19 to 916 of the family's 1533-position model. The record is from RNAcentral.